UUUAGUGUUGCAUUCCGUGAUCAAUUCAAGAUUGUGAACAUCAUCGCGGGAAGUAUGAAUUCAAUAGGAUCUUCACCAUACAAUGAAGUAACUUAACGCACUCCCGGCAUUACUCAAUCUGGACAUAUGUAGCUAUAAAGACCAUGCUUUGACAGAAACUGUGAUACAAAUGUUUCUGACAAUGAUUUGUAAAUCAUCUUGCUGUUGUUCUGUGGUAAG
This is a long non-coding RNA of Asterias rubens (European starfish), 219 nucleotides long. RefSeq lists it as uncharacterized. NCBI's taxonomy places the organism in Eukaryota, Metazoa, Echinodermata, Asteroidea, Forcipulatida, Asteriidae. The record is from RefSeq and is a predicted model, not a curated record. The transcript has 3 exons.